This 278-nucleotide ribosomal RNA is filed under the name uncultured Rikenellaceae bacterium. RNAcentral describes it as "partial 16S ribosomal RNA". It matches the Rfam family "Bacterial small subunit ribosomal RNA", at positions 511 to 788 of the family's 1533-position model. The record is from RNAcentral. Lineage: Bacteria; Pseudomonadati; Bacteroidota; Bacteroidia; Bacteroidales; Rikenellaceae.
GCAGCCGCGGUAAUACGUAGGUGGCAAGCGUUAUCCGGAUUUACUGGGUGUAAAGGGUGUGUAGGCGGGACUGCAAGUCAGAUGUGAAAACUAUGGGCUCAACCCAUAGCCUGCAUUUGAAACUGUAGUUCUUGAGUGUCGGAGAGGUAAACGGAAUUCCCAGUGUAGCGGUGAAAUGCGUAGAUAUUGGGAGGAACACCAGUGGCGAAGGCGGUUUACUGGACGACAACUGACGCUGAGACACGAAAGCGUGGGGAGCAAACAGGAUUAGAUACCCC